Brassica napus (rape) is the source of this 10280-nucleotide long non-coding RNA. RefSeq lists it as uncharacterized. The record is from RefSeq and is a predicted model, not a curated record. Lineage: Eukaryota; Viridiplantae; Streptophyta; Magnoliopsida; Brassicales; Brassicaceae. The transcript is spliced from 2 exons.
AGUUUUACUUUUGGAGAAGAACACAUUGAAACUUCAAAUAUAGAGUUUUGGAAACUUCAAAAUAGAGUUCCUUUUUGGAGAUGCUCUAAGAAGGAAUUAGUUGAUCUAAAGAACCAAGACUAAAGUAAACAAAAAUUUAAAUUGACGUACAGAAAAGCAAAGUCAAAGGCAUUUGGAACCAAAAAUAAAUAACAGUUUUGAUAAAUGUGUAUAUAUAACUUAUAAGCACUUACAGUUUUGGUAAAUAAAAUUCUUUUAGAUGAAAGCUACAUCAAACAAUCAGUAAAAAAAAUAGAAAUAAUGGAAGAAACAAAAUACUGUGCAUAAACCAAGCAAAAGAAAAGGAAAAAAUUAUCAAAUAAAGUGCAAAGUACAAGUAUGGACUUUAGUCGUGUGGAUCAAAUUUAUUUAUUUCAUACAAAUUAUCGAUAUGAUGUCAAUUAUAUAAUAAAAUUUACAUAUAAAUCAAUUGCAUAAUGUGAUGUCAAUUAUUUGGAUACCGUGAACAAGUUGUGUUACAAAUUUGUAAUGCUCUAUUAGACAUAAGUUUGAAUUCUCAAAAUUAACAAAAUAACUCGAUUAGAACCAAACCGAAUGAAAAAAUGAUUUGAGUAAGAAGGAAUCUAAUGAACCAACACUAAAGUAAACCAGAAAUUAAAUUGAAUAAAAACAAAACCAAACCGAACGAAAAUUACAAUUAUAUGAGUAAGAAGGAAUUAGUUGAUCUAAAGAACCAAGACUAAAGUAAACAAAAAUUUAAAUUGACGUACAGAAAAGCAAAGUCGAAGGCAUUUGGAACCAAAAAUAAAUAACAGUUUUGAUAAAUGUGUAUAUAUAGCUUAUAAGCACUUACAGUUUUUGUAAAUAAAAUUCUUUUAGAUGAAAGCUACAUCAAACAAUCAGUAAAAAAAAAUAGAAAUAAUGGAAGAAAAAAAAUACUGUGCAUAAACCAAGCAAAAGAAAAGGAAAAAAAUAUCAAAUAAAGUGCAAAGUACAAGUAUGGACUUUAGUCGUGUUGAUCAAAUUUACUUAUUUCAUACAAAUUAUUGAUAUGAUGUCAAUUAUAUAAUAAAAUUUACAUAUAAAUCAAUUGCAUAAUGUGAGAUAUGCUUUUUUAUUUGUAAACAUUGCAUAAGAGUCCUAAGAUGUUUAGACAAAAGUGUUUCUGUAAUUUUGCAAUGGUGUUGACAUCACACCUUUUCUGCUGUAAAUGCGGAAUGUUUUCCUUUUUAAUAUGUGCUUUAUAUUCAUGAUUCACAUUUUUGGUUUGAGAUGCAUGGUUAUUUGAAGGUUUUUGGUUGACGAUUGCAUCAUUAUCAUUGUUGUGGUGGAGGAUGCAACAAAACUUACAUAUUCCACUUAUGAGAACAGUUAUAGAAUUUUAUCAAAAUAAUUCAUAUUUAUUUUGCAUCUUCUUGAUGUAAAGAGUAUACUAUUCAUGUUUUUUGUUCUCUAUGAGAAUUUCAGUGUAUCAAAAUUAUAUAUUUCCACUCUUCAUAAUCUUAGACUCCAUAUUCAGACCACUAUUAUAAAACUAUAACUAGAGUUUGAACCCGCACGUCUGCGCGGAUAUUUUUUUUCUUUUAUAAAUGUAUAAUUUUGAUAUUAAAUUUACAUUUUAGUUUUAUAUAUUGUGUAACUUUAUUGUUUAGAUUUCUUAAAUAUAUAUUGAUCUAAUUUAUAUAUUUUACUUUUUUAUUAAAUAUUAUUUUUGUAUACAAUACAUUUUUUAAAUUAAUUUAGUUUACAAUAUAUUUAGUAUAUAGUUUUAUAGUAUAACUAACCAUUUUAGAAAUGAUGAUAUAAUAUGUUAGUCCACAUCUGAGUAAAAUAUGUUUAAUUAAAAUCAUAUAAUAUAGCAACUAUAUAUUUAUAUAUCACUAUAGCUAUGAAAAUAUUAAGGUUAAUUAUAUUAUAAAAAUCAUAUAGUUGUAUAACUAUAAUUUAUCAAUCAUAAAUUCAUAUUAAUAGUCAAAUUCCAAGCAAUGUUGUUGUAUAUUUCUGACGCACCACAACUAAAACAACUCUAUUAGGCUUUCGAAAUUUUAAAAUGAGUAAAUAAGAAACAAUUAAGUGCAAUGAAAUGUCCAUAGUUUUAAAUGAAAAUAAAUAGUGAAUGUUUUACGGAUGUAUAGUAAUUAGGAUGAAAUUAAUGUUGUUAACCAUAAAAAUAGGAGUGACACAUUUUUAAUAUAUUGAAAGUAAAUUAAGGGAACUUAAAAAUAUCUAAUUUUAAAUGUACUAGGGGUUUGGCCCGCCCUACGGGCGGGUGAAUUUGCACUAAAAUUAUUUUAUGUUUGAGUGUAUUGUAUUUUAAUUUUACAAAAUAUUUGAAAUUUUACUUUAUAUUGAAAAUAAUAAGUAUUAUAUGUUUUUAUUCUAAAAUUAUAUUUUAAACUUCGCUAAAUUUUGUUGGUUUGAAGUGAAAAACCUCUAAAAUUGUUUUGUUAAAGAAUACAAAAUUAUUAAAUCAGAAAACUAAAGAAAAUGUAAUGAUUUAUAUUUCUAUUUGAUUUCUGUUUCAAUUUGAUAUAUUUGAAAAAAAUUAAAGUAAGAAUAAUUAAUAUUUUUCAUAUUUUUAAGAGUAUCAGAUUUUAAUAUUAUUAUAAUAACUAAUUUCUCACGAUAAUAAAUUACUACACCCACCUCCAAACUAAAUCAAUUGAAAAUCAAAUGUAAUGUGAUAAAAUUAUUAAAAUUUAUAAUUUAAAGUAAUAUACAAAUAUUUUCAAUAUUGUCUUAGUAUGUAUUAUGUAACAACAAAUGAUGUUUUAUAAUAUAUAUUUUUUUUAUUUUAUAUUAGAUUUUUAAUUUAUAAUAAAAUUUUCUUUAAUUUUUAGUGUUUUACUAAUUAUUUUUGUAAAUUAUUUUAAGCAUUUGUUGAACUUUUUUAUAAAAACAAUUUGUUGAAAAUUUUGCUCAUACUAUUUGAAAAUAUUUUAUAGAUUAAUAGUGUUAUAAAUUAACAAAUUAUUAUAGUUCUAACAUAAUUUUACUUGAGUUUUAUACCCUAUCUUAUUAAAUAAUUUACUUUGAGUGAACCAAACAUAAAAAAAAAAUUAAAUGUAGUAUAACCAUUAAUAAUCUGAAAAUUAAGAUGAACCAGACUGCGUAUAAAUGUUUUCUGAAAAAAAAAAAUUUCUUAAAGAAAUAACUAAAUCCUUUAGUCUUUUUAAUGUUGGCUGUAUUGAAUGAAAGUAUAUAAUUCCUAUCUAAUCAAAUAUCUCAUUCUUAGUUUCAACAUAGUUGCAACGAUAACAUCGUAAAACAUAUAUAUAAUUACCUAACUAAAUGGAACAACACAAUAUGUUGGGUUUAUAUUUCAGCCCAAAACAAUCAAAGAAUAUGUCACCAAGCAAACAAUUAUGCACACUAAAACUGCAGUGUUUCUUGUUUUGAAGCUUAGAAUAAUUUUUUAAAGAUUUAAAGAGAGCUAUGAAAAUCAGAAGCAUACCCUAGUUUCAUAACAAUCCCCAAAAACAGAGGAGAAAUCCUAAUUGGAUUUCACAAUGAUGACCUCAAAUGUUAUUUUCUCUCUUUUUCUAAUCAAAAAUAAAAACUCAUACGAUGAUGACAACGAAUGUUUGUUUCUCUACACUAAAAAUGGCCACUAUUUCAAAACUUAUUUGUCUUUAUAUUCUCUGCUACAAAUAGAGAAAGCUGAUCUGAAAAUAACAAUCGUUGCAUAAAAGUAUCCCUUAUUUUUCCACCUGAUUCUUCAACUGCUUAUUUUUUUCUCUUUCACAUACACAGGUCUACGAUUUCGCUUUUACACAUAUCGAUCAGUGGCUGCUCAGAAGUUGAAUACUGGUUAAAAAACAUCCUAAAAUAGUUAACUUUUGUUGGAGUCCAACACCACAUGUUUCUUCUCUUUACCGCCAUUUUAACUUAUGUCAUCGCCACCAUCUCUGUCAACAUUCUCCUUGCAAUCCUCCAAACCCAACGUUGCGGCCUAUCCCUCGGCCCAGUCCUAUAAUUUAUAACCUAAGUGCACAUCCUCUGUUCCAGCUAAGAGACAUGUCUUUCGAGAGACAUAGAUAUAAGAGCCACCUGAAAAGUCCAAGUUGGCAUUUCCUUUCUUGUAUGAGAUCUAAGUCAUUAUUGGCUACAAAUGUUGGAAAAUAAUUCACUAUCUUUUAACUUAUAUACGCCACCAAAAUAGUGUCAGAUGCUUAAAAAUAAGUGCUAAUGUGGCAAUUACCCGUUAUUGCAAAUUCCUCCAGCGCAUCAUGUAUCCGAUUCUGAAUAUCCUCUAAAGGCCCAGAUUCUAAGCUUUAGGGAUGAAAAGUAAGAGGUUAUCAAUUUAAAAGAAACAUAUGUAAUGACGACAUAAGCAUCUAACUUUAGGAAAUAAUAAUGUGAUUCCAACUACAGUGACUCCAGGUAACUUUUAAAGAAAAGUAUCUUACCACACCAAAGAAUCGUUGAGGAACCCCUAGCCUCUGAGAUGAGGAUAACAUUUAUUUCUGCUCCCAUGUUGUCUAUGUCCCCUCAGUGGCAAAAAAAAGAACUAUUUACUAAGUUCAUAUGUAUAAAAUUUAGCAUAUAAUAAAUCAGACCACAAAUUGUUUAUAGUCAUUUAAUUGCUUACUUAAAAUUCAGGAGAGCUUCACAGUCAAUGUCUUUAACCAAUCUGGCAUGAAUCACACAUAAUAAAUAUGGAGAUAAUUGAAUCAUGUUUCGAAAUUUAUUCGGUCACAUCUCAUCUCAUCCAUAUAUAAUGAAAAGAAGUACGCAUUGCAAUUAUGAAACAGUACAUUCCAUCAGAAAACAAACCGUAAAGAUGCUUCUGAGACUUACAAACUCAAUCGCAUGAAAAUGCAAGAAGAUGACCCAAGCAACAAAUACUCUUCUUCACAAAAUAAACUUGAACUGAAAAAGCCGAUAAAACAACGCCAAUCCAUAACUUUUGGUUCCUCAAGCUGCUUGCUUUGUCUAGUUGAAUCUUUGAUCUUAUCAGCUUCUGGAAACCAUUAUGAGACGGCGUUUAGGUUAGGGGGAGGAUGAGUGAUUUUUAGAUUUUUGAGAAUUAGAUUUUAGGUUGGGCUGCGAAAUGGUUUAAAUGGGCUGCAAAGGUUAACUUAAUUUUUGUAUCCAAGCCUAGUCCACAAUGACAUGGCACUUUGAUUGGUCCUGAUUAUUUUGACCAUGUGGAUAGCUUUAGGAAUCUUAAAAAUAGCUUCUUUUAUAUAGUGGGAUUGAUAUCUAUUCUUAGUGAGAUAUGAAUAGGUCCAAAUUUAAAUGACAACAUUUAUAAUUAGAUAAAAAAAAUAACUUUAAAUUAAUAGAAUAGAUGGGUCAAGCUAGAACCUUACUAAAAGUGGAAAACAUGUUGAUUUUACGUCACACCAAGUUGCAUGUUGGUUAAUUGGAUGUCCUUGCAAUAUUUUAUCCUUAUUUGUCAUCUACAGCACAAGCUUCCUCUAAUCUAUGUCAGAGCUGGCUCUUGAUCUAAUUUGAAAUUUUAGACCAUUUACAAUGAUUUAGUUGAAUAAAUUAUUCAACUGUUGAAAGCUUGUAAUGAAAAUAUUGAAAAACCAAAAAAACUUAGGUGGAAUAAUUAGAGUUGAAUUUUUUCAACUAGUUGAAUACCAUAAAGUAGGGUCCACAAAAGUAACGUAUCAUCAUGUUAUUUAUUAUUAAAAUUGAAUUCAUUUUUUAUACACCCUAACUAUUUAAUCUCAAUUAUUUUGUAACAAAAUAAUUUAUUCAUUAAACUAUUUUAUAUAAAAAUUCAUCAUUUUUAUUUUAUUUUAUAAAUAGAGGUUUGUUAUAUUUAUUCGUACAUAUGAUUUGUUAAUUUCUAAUUAAUUUUUUAAGAAAUUAUUCUAUCUCUAAAAAUGGGAUUUUAAAAAUAAAUUCUACAUUCUUAAUUCUUAUUUAUUUUUGAAUAUUAAAGUUCAAAUUAUCGAUUAUUUUAAAAUGACUUAGAUUUGAUAAUUGUUUAUUUUAAUAAAAGUUUUUGAUGAAUUAAAAUAGAUGGAUAUAAUGAUAUUUUUAAAACAAAAGUUCUAGUUGAUUUAAAUUUAAGUAUUUAUUGAAUUAAUUAUUAUGUGAUAAAAAGAGAUAUGAAAAUCAAUUUAGAGAGGCAGACUGAGAGAGAAAGUAGAGAGAGAAAGUAGAUCUUGAAGUUGGUCCGGCGAGCGGCCGGCGCGUGAGCGUGCGUGCCGUCGCCGGAGCCCCUAGAGUAGCUUUAAAGAUGUUGGUCGUGCGUCUCUCCUUCGUCACCUCCGUCUUCCGCCUUGUCUGAGCUCUGGUUCAGGCCUCCUCUGCGGAGGUUCUGUCUUUGGAGUCAAGACGCGGUCGGGUGAAGGUACGGUGGGGAGAAGCUAAGGGUUUUUAGCCAGUGGAUGUUUCUUCUCCGGGAGAUGGAGGCUCCUUCAGCUCCGUCGCCGCCGGUUCUUGUCUCCGGGAGGGGAGGCUUUUGCAGCUCCGCCUUCGUCGGUUCUGUUCUCCGGGGGGUGAAGGUUUCUUCAACCUUGCGUCGCCGGUUUGUUGCUCCAGUCUUUUGGUUCGGUCUUUGAUUUCGUUGGGUGUGUGUUGGGUGUGUGUGGGGGUCUUUUGGUUCGUGAUUCCAAGUGGGUAAUGGUUUUGUGCUGUCGGAGGAGCUCUCGAUCGGAUCGAUGAUGCUCUCCGAAGCGAGAACAAAGCGUGAAAGAGAAGAGGUGGUCUUGAUGGAGGCUUUGCGGUUUGUCCGAGCUCCUGGCCUCCGGUGGUGUAUCUCCGGCGACUUCUCGAGAUGGUGAAGGUCAGGUUGAUGCUGACGUGACGCGUGCCGCACUGAGGGGCGUUAUCCUUACACGUGCCGAGCGUCCCUGACCCGUGGGCCGGUUGAAGUCGUUCGGGUUGGUUGUUGGGCCGUAGGGCCGUUUGAGUGUGUGUUUCCCCCAUUUGUUUUGGGUUUUGUUGGCUUUUGGUUGGGCCUCGGACUAUGUAAUUUGGGCUUAAACCCUUUUCAGUUUUUAUUAUAAUAAACUUGACGGGAAAAAAAAAAAGAUAAAAAGAGAUAUGAAAAAAAAAGAUGAUGCGGCAAAAAAACUGAUGUGACAUAUUAAAGUAGGGUAAUGAAUAACAGUUAGAGCAUAACCAACGCCGGGGAUGCUCAUUUGGAGUUUUUACCACUCAAAAAUCAUUAUUUAAAUGCAUGUUAGUUAUGUAAAUUAAUUUAUUUAUUUUACCUAAACAUUUACCAUUGGAAAAGAGACAGGUGGUCUCACAGUUUCGGUAGAGGUUCUUAGAACUUUUGGUGUUUUUCUUUUUUUCCGCCAAGUGAUUUUUUUUUAAUUAAUAAUAAUCCGGGCUAAGCCCAUAAUACAUAACUGAAGUUCCAAUUGCAACAUCAAAAGGUCCAGAAGCCCAAAAACUUACCGGCUACUCUCUAAAAACUUUAAACGGGCCCACAGCCCAAAUCACAUAAACCCGACCGACAUCGGCUGGGAUACUCGCAUCAAGGAGGCUGGCUGCAUGCCACGUGGUAGCAUCUACGCCCUCGGAUCGACACGCGUCGCACAUCGCCUCAACCUGAUCAUCUCCGCCUUGAAACGCCACCAGAACCCCUCAUCGGACCUUCCUUUCGCCGGCCCUUACCCCUCGCAACAACUGUCUUCAUCUCCGGUGGUCCUCCAUCAAAAGCGUCAUCGGACUCACUGCGCUCUCAUUAGGACCACCCACGACCUGAACUAUCUUUUCUUGUCGGUGAUAACAUCCACGAAAAGCUCAAUCUUCUUCAGAGAUCUCUUCCGAUCUGUAUAAAAUCAACUCGGCCGACAAGAACAAAAACCAAACCAAACUUAAACCGCUAACACCCAAAAUUCCUACGGGUUUCAAGCCGGCAGCGUAGAGCUGUGUUAGCCUCCACUCUCCGGAGACUAUACGACGACGGCAGAGUUAGGUAAGCCUCCCCCUCUCGAAACACUGAACCGGCAGCGGCGGAGCAAAAUGAGUCUCCACCUCCCGGAGAAUACCGGCGAUGACAGAGCUGUAAAAGCCUCCCCCUCCCGUAGUCUAACCUUUAUCUAAACGAGGUACCUCUCCACCGCAUAAGACCUUCUCCACGAUCGCGUCUUCACUCCAAACAACAAACCGCCAUGCAUCAUGGAAUAGGCCGGAGUCACAGUUCAGACAAGGCAAAAGUGGAGAGGAUACGGAGAAGAGACACUAGGAAGCUUUUAAAAGGACGGACUCCGGUUCCGACGACGACACGCUCGCGCACGCGCCUGCCUUACGCCGGGACCAACUAGAUCUACUUUGUCUCUCUACUUCUCUGUCUACAGAAAAAAAUUAGCUCUUGCUCAUAACUUUUGGUGUUUCAUUCUCUUAUUUUUUAUUUAAUUUUAUUUUCUUUAUCGAUUAGAUAUCAGUCUAUAUACUACCAAUAAAGAAGCUCUUAUAUGCAUGUAGUCUUCCAUGAAUAUUUAUAUUCACCACUAAAUUAACUAAAAUAUCUUACUUGGAAAAUAUUCAAAACUAAAACUGAAUAGUUUCGAGACGAGAUGCAAAUCAUAUUGUAUCAAAUUGGUUUGUCCGGCGUGAUGACACCUCUGGAAGCUUGAAAGAUUUGCUGAACCGGUAUGUUGCUAUCGUCAAAGCCCAUUUUUUUCGUUAUGGACUUUCGGUUUUGCUUUGCGGGCCAAGAAUCGAGACAUUGCUUUCCAGUGGUUAGUAGUCGACUCUGAAUAUGUGCCUUUGGUGUGCAAGUUGUUGGUACAUGAAUACCACUCCAAUCAAACUGCCACCAAUAAUAUCGGAUAGAAAUUGGUAAUCCUGAUUUAGCUUUGUUUUCUCUCGGAUUAAUGAUUAUUUUGUAGUUGAAUUGGAUGGUUUAAGAAACGGUUCAUUCUGUGUCAUAGAGUGAAUCGUUCACUUAGUGGUUGUAAGAGGACAGUGAAGAUUGAUGGGUAGCGUACAUGAUCCUCAGUGAUACUAGAUUUCUUUUUUGUUUUGUGGUUGAAUUUCUUAUGAGAUAAAAAAACUCUCGUUGUCGUUGAAUGAAAUUCGAAGUUGAGAAAAAGAAAAUCAUAUGAUCCGGUUGGCGUUACAUGCUUGAGUACUGUAUGUAUUUGCGAACUAAGUUGUAGUAUUAUAAGAACUCAUUUUAAGCUGACUGCAAAUAGUGAUGAUGUAAGGAAACAAAUUGUGAAUAAAAAAUCAAUUCAAUGAUAUAUAAAUAUUUAGUUUAUCAUUGUAAUAUACUAGACAAAGAGUUGUGUCUCUUCCUUAAGAGUUGUGUCUCUUCCGUAAAGUAUUGUGUCUCUUCUUUCUCAUGACUCUAAAUGAAUAAUUAACUUAAUAACAGAUUACGACUCUUAAUACAUAAAGCGUAUCCUAACGUACUUGGGAACUCAUUUAUUCGACCAACAUUGGUGUGGUGUUUGUCUCCUUUUGUGCAGUAAUAACUCUCACAUUUAUUCAUAAAGUUUUACAGUAGUUUCAUAUUGAAGAGAUACAACCUUUAAUCAAAAGACACCUAAGUGAACAAACACAACUAUUAACAAAAAUUGAAUUUUUUAUAAAAGCACACAACCUUUAAAAUUAAUUGGGAUUGCUAUUAUUAGUAGAUUUGUGAUUUCAUUUUACAACGUUUAAACGUUCGUUUUAAUUUUUUUUUAAUAAACUUAAAAUAUAUUAGGGAUAUAUGUUUCGUGAAUUAAAACUAUAACCACAUAACCACAUGAAAGAAACAUGAAUUGAUAAUCAAGAUACCCAACAUGUUCUUGAUUCAAAAUUAUGUUCUUGACCUAAAAUAAACAUGUUCUUGACAAAAAAAAUACAGUGGGAAAUUCAGAUAAUGGACGGGUUCGAAAAAUUCAGAAAGCUAAAAUAAUUUUUAAACUCAAUAAUUCGUAUAAGAAUCAAUUGGUGAUCAAUCUCAACUAAUCUCCAAUACUAGGAUCUAGAAAAGAUAUGAAAAUACACAGCACAUACACAUUUUAUUUAUUGAUAAAAUUUAUAAUUAUUCGACCAACAAUAUGUAGGUUACAACACUUCACAACAAUAAUAUCUCAAAGACCGAGAGAGAAAGGAAAACCGGUCGAACCUAACCAGCCUCCACCACCAAUAAACUGACCAGCAGUAUAUCUCUGAGCUUCAGAAGCAGCAGUGAUUACCUUAAAGCCCCUCCACUUCACUCUCCUUGCAGUUCCAGCCCCUGCUCCUUUAUUCGCAUACUCUCUAUAAGUCAAAGUGUUCAACGCAAAAGUCCCAGUCCACUCGGACCACCCUUCGGGUCGGAUCACGUCCGAGAUAUCCGACUGCAUGAUCACUGUUUGUGAAUACUCUUU